CCUACGGGAGGCAGCAGUGGGGAAUAUUGCACAAUGGGCGGAAGCCUGAUGCAGCGACGCCGCGUGAGGGAUGAAGGCCUUCGGGUUGUAAACCUCUUUCAGCAGGGACGAAGCGUGAGUGACGGUACCUGCAGAAGAAGCACCGGCUAACUACGUGCCAGCAGCCGCGGUAAUACGUAGGGUGCGAGCGUUGUCCGGAAUUACUGGGCGUAAAGAGUUCGUAGGCGGUUUGUCGCGUCGUUUGUGAAAACCCGGGGCUCAACUUCGGGCUUGCAGGCGAUACGGGCAGACUUGAGUGUUUCAGGGGAGACUGGAAUUCCUGGUGUAGCGGUGAAAUGCGCAGAUAUCAGGAGGAACACCGGUGGCGAAGGCGGGUCUCUGGGAAACAACUGACGCUGAGGAACGAAAGCGUGGGUAGCAAACAGGAUUAGAUACCCUGGUAGUCCACGCCGUAAACGGUGGGCGCUAGGUGUGGGUUCCUUCCACGGGAUCUGUGCCGUAGCUAACGCAUUAAGCGCCCCGCCUGGGGAGGUACGGCCGCGAGACGUAAACGUACAANAGAGUAGACGGCGUGAGACGUUGCCGAACGGACGACGACGAGGGAGGAGG
Molecule: ribosomal RNA, 609 nt
Filed under: uncultured bacterium
Lineage: Bacteria
Description: bacterial SSU rRNA
Rfam family: Bacterial small subunit ribosomal RNA (bases 1-524)
Source: RNAcentral